UACGGAGGGUGCAAGCGUUAUCCGGAUUCACUGGGUUUAAAGGGUGCGUAGGUGGGUCUGUAAGUCAGUGGUGAAAUCUCCGGGCUUAACCCGGAAACUGCCAUUGAUACUAUAGGUCUUGAAUUAUCUGGAGGUGAGCGGAAUAUGUCAUGUAGCGGUGAAAUGCUUAGAUAUGACAUAGAACACCAAUUGCGAAGGCAGCUCACUACGGAUAUAUUGACACUGAGGCACGAAAGCGUGGGGAGCAAACAGG
RNAcentral lists this ribosomal RNA (253 nucleotides) under uncultured bacterium. Its description in RNAcentral is "partial 16S ribosomal RNA". It matches the Rfam family "Bacterial small subunit ribosomal RNA", at positions 524 to 776 of the family's 1533-position model. The record is from RNAcentral.